GAAAAUGAAGAUCUCGAAGCUGCUAACUUUGAGUUUUGCAAAUUUGUAACAUUUUCU
This 57-nucleotide transfer RNA is filed under the name Chthamalus antennatus. Its description in RNAcentral is "tRNA-Ser". Lineage: Eukaryota; Metazoa; Arthropoda; Thecostraca; Balanomorpha; Chthamalidae. The record is from RNAcentral.